GUCUACGGCCAUACCACCCUGAACGCGCCCGAUCUCGUCUGAUCUCGGAAGCUAAGCAGGGUCGGCCCGGUUAGUACUUGGAUGGGAGACCGCCUGGGAAUACCGGGUGCUGUAGGCU
RNAcentral lists this ribosomal RNA (118 nucleotides) under Capra hircus (goat). Lineage: Eukaryota; Metazoa; Chordata; Mammalia; Artiodactyla; Bovidae. The record is from RNAcentral.